UACAGAGGGUGCGAGCGUUAAUCGGAGUUACUGGGCGUAAAGGGCGCGUAGGCGGUACGGUAAGUGUGACGUGAAAUCCCCGGGCUUAACCUGGGAACUGCGCCACAAACUGCCGUGCUGGAGUACUGUAGAGGGCAGUGGAAUUUCCGGUGUAGCGGUGAAAUGCGUAGAGAUCGGAAGGAACACCAGUGGCGAAGGCGACUGCCUGGACAGAUACUGACGCUGAGGCGCGAAAGCGUGGGGAGCAAACAGG
Molecule: ribosomal RNA, 253 nt
Filed under: uncultured prokaryote
Description: partial 16S ribosomal RNA
Rfam family: Bacterial small subunit ribosomal RNA
Source: RNAcentral